This 442-nucleotide ribosomal RNA is filed under the name uncultured bacterium. Its description in RNAcentral is "partial 16S ribosomal RNA". It matches the Rfam family "Bacterial small subunit ribosomal RNA", at positions 338 to 795 of the family's 1533-position model. The record is from RNAcentral.
CCUACGGGUGGCAGCAGUGGGGAAUAUUGGACAAUGGGCGCAAGCCUGACCCAGCGACGCCGCGUGAGGGAAGAAGGCUUUCGGGUUGUAAAGCUCUUUUGGCAGGGAAGAGUAGAAGACGGUACCUGACGAAUAAGCCACGGCUAACUACGUGCCAGCAGCCGCGGUAAUACGGAGGUGGGAAGCGUUGUCCGGAUUUACUGGGUGUAAAGGGCGUGGGGCCGGGUAGACAAGUCAGGUGGUAAAUCCUGCGGCCUAACCGCAGAACUGCAUUUGAAACUGUUGGUCUUGAGUACUGGAGAGGCAGGUGGAAUUCCUAGUGUAGCGGUGAAAUGCGUAGAUAUUAGGAGGAACACCAGUGGCGAAGGCGGUCUACUGGACAGCAACUGACGGUGAGGCGCGAAAGCGUGGGGAGCAAACAGGAUUAGAUACCCCAGUAGUC